CCUACGGGAGGCAGCAGUGAGGAAUAUUGGUCAAUGGACGAGAGUCUGAACCAGCCAAGUCGCGUGAAGGAUGACUGCCCUACGGGUUGUAAACUUCUUUUAUAUGGGAAUAAAACGUUCCACGUGUGGCAUUUUGUAUGUACCAUAUGAAUAAGGAUCGGCUAACUCCGUGCCAGCAGCCGCGGUAAUACGGAGGAUCCGAGCGUUAUCCGGAUUUAUUGGGUUUAAAGGGAGCGUAGGUGGAUUGGUAAGUCGGUUGUGAAAGUUUGGGGCUCAACCCUAAAAUUGCAGUUGAAACUGGCAGUGUAGAGUAGAGGAGAGGUAGGCGGAAUGCGCGGUGUAGCGGUGAAAUGCUUAGAUAUCGCGAAGAACUCCGAUUGCGAAGGCAGUUCCCUGGA
This 398-nucleotide ribosomal RNA is filed under the name uncultured bacterium. Its description in RNAcentral is "partial 16S ribosomal RNA". It matches the Rfam family "Bacterial small subunit ribosomal RNA", at positions 338 to 733 of the family's 1533-position model. The record is from RNAcentral.